GAGUUUGAUCGUGGCUCAGAUUGAACGCUGGCGGCAUGCCUUACACAUGCAAGUCGAACGGCAGCAUGAUCUAGCUUGCUAGGUUGAUGGCGAGUGGCGAACGGGUGAGUAAUACAUCGGAACGUGCCCUGUAGUAGGGGAUAACUAGUCGAAAGAUUAGCUAAUACCGCAUACGACCUGAGGGUGAAAGUGGGGGACCGCAAGGCCUCAUGCUAUAGGAGCGGCCGAUGUCUGAUUAGCUAGUUGGUGGGGUAAAGGCCCACCAAGGCGACGAUCAGUAGCUGGUCUGAGAGGACGAUCAGCCACACUGGGACUGAGACACGGCCCAGACUCCUACGGGAGGCAGCAGCGGGGAAUUUUGGACAAUGGGCGAAAGCCUGAUCCAGCAAUGCCGCGUGUGUGAAGAAGGCCUCGGUUGUAAGUACGACUUU
RNAcentral lists this ribosomal RNA (431 nucleotides) under uncultured microorganism. RNAcentral describes it as "bacterial SSU rRNA". It matches the Rfam family "Bacterial small subunit ribosomal RNA", at positions 9 to 439 of the family's 1533-position model. The record is from RNAcentral.